Molecule: ribosomal RNA, 71 nt
Filed under: Gottfriedia luciferensis
Lineage: Bacteria; Bacillati; Bacillota; Bacilli; Caryophanales; Bacillaceae
Description: Bacillus luciferensis partial 16S ribosomal RNA
Rfam family: Bacterial small subunit ribosomal RNA
Source: RNAcentral
CUUUUAUGGAGAGUUUGAUCCUGGCUCAGGACGAACGCUGGCGGCGUGCCUAAUACAUGCAAGUCGAGCGG